This 63-nucleotide ribosomal RNA is filed under the name Clostridium sp. AM48-13. RNAcentral describes it as "partial 23S ribosomal RNA". The record is from RNAcentral. Lineage: Bacteria; Bacillati; Bacillota; Clostridia; Eubacteriales; Clostridiaceae.
UUGGUUAAGCUAAUAAGAGCGCAGGGUGGAUGCCUUGGCACUAAGAGCCGAUGAAAGACGUGA